This 253-nucleotide ribosomal RNA is filed under the name uncultured bacterium. RNAcentral describes it as "partial 16S ribosomal RNA". It matches the Rfam family "Bacterial small subunit ribosomal RNA", at positions 524 to 776 of the family's 1533-position model. The record is from RNAcentral.
UACGUAGGGUGCGAGCGUUAAUCGGAAUUACUGGGCGUAAAGCGUGCGUAGACGGUUAUUUAAGUCGGAUGUGAAAGCCCCGGGCUCAACCUGGGAAUUGCAUUCGAGACUGAAUAGCUAGGGUACGGUAGAGGGAAGCGGAAUUUCCGGUGUAGCGGUGAAAUGCGUAGAUAUCGGAAGGAACAUCAGUGGCGAAAGCGGCUUCCUGGACCAGUACCGACGUUCAGGCACGAAAGCGUGGGGAGCAAACAGG